This 66-nucleotide transfer RNA is filed under the name Clostridium sp. CAG:226. It matches the Rfam family "tRNA". Rfam says of the family: Transfer RNA (tRNA) molecules are approximately 80 nucleotides in length. Their secondary structure includes four short double-helical elements and three loops (D, anti-codon, and T loops). The record is from Rfam by way of RNAcentral. Lineage: Bacteria; Bacillati; Bacillota; Clostridia; Eubacteriales; Clostridiaceae.
UAGCUCAAUUGGCAGAGCAGCUGAUUUGUAAUCAGCAGGUUGCGGGUUCAAGUCCCUUCACCAGCU